This 396-nucleotide ribosomal RNA is filed under the name uncultured bacterium. RNAcentral's name for it is "partial 16S ribosomal RNA". It matches the Rfam family "Bacterial small subunit ribosomal RNA", at positions 338 to 731 of the family's 1533-position model. The record is from RNAcentral.
CCUACGGGUGGCAGCAGUGAGGAAUAUUGGUCAAUGGACGCGAGUCUGAACCAGCCAAGUCGCGUGAGGGAAGACGGCCCUAUGGAUUGUAAACUUCUUUUGUCGGGGAGUAAAAGCAGCCACGUGUGGCUUUCUGAGAGUACCCUAAGAAUAAGCAUCGGCUAACUCCGUGCCCGCAGCCGCGGUAAUACGGAGGAUGCGAGCGUUAUCCGGAUUUAGUGGGUUUAAAGGGUGCGGAGGCGGAGGGAUAAGGUAGGGGUGAAAGUUGGCGGCUAAACUCUGGAAUGGCUGUUGAUACUGGUUGUCUUGAGUGUAGUAGCGGUAGGCGGAAUGCGUGGUGUAGCGGUGAAAUGCAUAGAGAUCACGCAGAACUCCGAUUGCGAAGGCAGCUUACCG